This 236-nucleotide unclassified non-coding RNA is filed under the name plant metagenome. RNAcentral describes it as "partial contains small subunit ribosomal RNA, internal transcribed spacer 1, and 5.8S ribosomal RNA". The record is from RNAcentral.
UUUCCGUAGGUGAACCUGCGGAAGGAUCAUUACUGAGUGAGGGCCCCUCGGGGUCCAACCUCCCACCCGUGUUUAACGAACCUUGUUGCUUCGGCGGGCCCGCCUCACGGCCGCCGGGGGGCAUCUGCCCCCGGGCCCGCGCCCGCCGAAGCCACCUGUGAACGCUGUCUGAAGUAUGCAGUCUGAGACAAUUAUUAAAUUUAUUAAAACUUUCAACAACGGAUCUCUUGGUUCCG